Molecule: ribosomal RNA, 1327 nt
Filed under: metagenome
Description: bacterial SSU rRNA
Rfam family: Bacterial small subunit ribosomal RNA
Source: RNAcentral
AGAGUUUGAUCCUGGCUCAGGAUGAACGCUGGCGGAGUGCCUAACACAUGCAAGUCGAGCGGCAGCACGAGUAGUUUACUACUUGGUGGCGAGCGGCGGACGGCUGAGUAACGCGUGGGAACGUGCCCCAAAGUGAGGAAUAACUGCCCGAAAGGGUAGCUAAUGCCGCAUAUGAUCUUCGGAUUAAAGUAUUUAUUACGCUUUGGGAGCGGCCCGCGUCCGAUUAGGUAGUUGGUGAGGUAAAGGCUCACCAAGCCCACGAUCGGUAGCUGGUCUGAGAGGAUGACCAGCCAGACUGGAACUGAGACACGGUCCAGACUCCUACGGGAGGCAGCAGUGAGGAAUCUUCCACAAUGGACGAAAGUCUGAUGGAGCAACUCCGCGUGCAGGAUGAAGGCCUUCGGGUCGUAAACUGCUUUUAUGAGUGAAGAAUAUGACGGUAACUCAUGAAUAAGGGUCGGCUAACUACGUGCCAGCAGCCGCGGUCAUACGUAGGACCCAAGCGUUAUCCGGAGUGACUGGGCGUAAAGAGUUGCGUAGGUGGUUAGUAAAGUGAAUAGUGAAAUCUGGCGGCUCAACCGUACAGGCUAUUAUUCAAACUCACUAACUCGAGAAUGGUAGAGGUAACUGGAAUUUCUAGUGUAGGAGUGAAAUCCGUAGAUAUUAGAAGGAACACCAAUGGCGUAGGCAGGUUACUGGACCAUUUCUGACACUGAGGCACGAAAGCGUGGGGAGCGAACCGGAUUAGAUACCCGGGUAGUCCACGCCGUAAACGAUGGAUACUAGCUGUUGGAGGUAUCGACCCCUUCAGUAGCGAAGCUAACGCGUUAAGUAUCCCGCCUGUGGAGUACGGUCGCAAGACUAAAACAUAAAGGAAUUGACGGGGACCCGCACAAGCGGUGGAUCGUGUUCUUUAAUUCGAUGAUAAACGAAGAACCUUACCAGGGUUUGACAUCCUUGGAAUUUCUGUGAAAGCAGAGAGUGCUUUAUUGAGCCAAGUGACAGGUGAUGCAUGGCCGUCGUCAGCUCGUGUCGUGAGAUGUUUGGUUAAGUCCAUCAACGAGCGCAACCCUUGUGAUUAGUUGUAUUUUUCUAAUCAGACUGCCCCGGUAACGGGGAGGAAGGAGGGGAUGAUGUCAGGUCAGUAUUUCCCUUACACCCUGGGCUAGAAACACGAUACAAUGGUUAGUACAAUGCGCAGCGAAGCCGCGAGGUGGAGCAAAUCGCAUCAAAGCUAAUCUCAGUUCGGAUAAGAGGCUGAAACUCGCCUCUUUGAAGUCGGAAUCGCUAGUAAUCGCAGAUCAGCAAGCUGCGGUGAAUACGUUCC